UGGGGGAAAAUGGAAAUAAAAACAAAAAUAAACAAAUGGGACCUAGUGAAACUUAAAAGCUUUUGCACAGCAAAGGAAACCGUAAACAAGACCAAAAGACAACCCUCAGAAUGGGAGAAAAUAUUUGCAAACGAAUCAAUGGGCAAAGGAUUAAUCCCCAAAAUAUAACAGCUCAUGCAGCUCAGUAUUAAAAAACAAAUAACCCAAUCCAAAAAUGGGCAGAAGACCUAAAUAGACAUCUCUCCAAAGAAGACAUACAGAUGGCCAAGAAGCACAUGAAAAGCUGCUCAGCAUCACUAAUUAUUAGAGAAAUGCAAAUCAAAACUACAAUGAGUUGUCAUCUCACACCGGUCAGAAUGGCCAUCAUCAAAAAAUCUAGAAACAAUAAAUGCUGGAGAGGGUGUGGAGAAAAGGGAACCCUCUCACACUGUUGGUGGGAAUGUAAAUUGAUACAGCCACUAUGGAGAACAGUAUGGAGGUUCCUUAAAAAGCUAAAAAUAGAACUACCAUAUGACUCAAUAAUCCCACUCCUGGGCAUAUACCCAGAGAAAGCCAUAAUUCAAAAAUAUACGUCACCCCAGUGUUCAUUGCUGCACUAUUUACAAUAGCCAGGACAUGGAAGCAACCUAAACGUCCAUUGACAGAGGAAUGGAUAAAGAAGAUUGGUGCAUAUAUACAAUGGAAUAUUAGCCAUAAAAUAGAACUAAAUUGUGCCGUUUACAGAGACGUGAAUGGACCUAGAGACUGUCAUACAGAGUGAAGUAAGUCAGAAAGAGAAAAACAAAUAUCAUAUAUUAACACAUACAUAUGGAAUAGGUGAACUUAUUUGCAAAGCAGAAAUAGAGACACAGAUGUAGAGAACAAAUGUAUGGAUACCAAGGGGAGAAGCGGGGGCGAGAUGGAUUGGGAGAUUGGGAUUGACAUAUACACACUACUAUGUAUAAAAUAGAUAACUACUGAGAACAGAUUGUACAGCACAGGGAACUCUACUCAAUGCUCUGUGGUGACCUAAAUGGGAAGGAAAUCCAAGGAAUAGGGGAUAUAUGUAUACGUGUGGCUGAUUCACUUUGCCGUACAGCAGAAACUAACACAACAUUGUAAAGCAACUAUACUCCAAUAAGAAGAAUAAAAAUUUUUUAAAUAAAUAAAUAAAUAAUAAAUAGAAAAAAAAUAAAAUGGAAACCUUUUACUUAGGAAAAAAAUAAAAUAGAUUGCUUAUCAAUAUUUGAUAUAUCAUUGUGCCUACAAUUUCUGCAUGCUUAUUUAAAUACAUAUUUCAUAGUCACUGUAAUAUAACUACAUGCUUCACUGACAUCAGUUCUUCCUGGAUCCCACAAGGAGGAAAUUUACCUGCUAAUGCAAUGCAUUUGGAGAGAGAGCAGAGAGCCGCAGCCCAGCUUAACAUGUGCAGUGCAUUCUUACUGCGUCUUCCUUCGGUAUCACAGAGCUUAUGGAUGUGGAAUCCUUCAAACUCAGCUCCUGGAGCUGUAGAAAUAGCACAUGGAUUGAGACCAGAUGCCGUGCUCUCCAGAAAGCUGGUUUGGUAACAGGUUUCAGCUGUGUGAACAUUCAAUUCCCUGAUCCAGGAGCAUGGACCUCAGAGUGAACAGGCUAAAAAGGGAUGCUGUGGACACUUUCUCCAUCAUUCACCUCUCCUUCUAAAGCUCUGGCACUGAGCGAUCGCAGUUCUAAAGAGCAGUCCUGUGUACCCCCAUUUAUGGUUUUUUAAUGUUCAAUUAAUAUUACGGAAACAAAUCCUUUCAGCAACUUCUAAAUCAAUUUUCUAAAAUCUGCUUGUCUCAGAAUUUACCAACAAAACAUACAGCUUUUUGAAGACGCUAAUGUUCACAGCCCUUUAUGCCACUUUAUCACACCUCAUGUUCUCAAAGCCCUGGAGCAAAAGGAAUUUUUUUUGUUUAUUUACAUUUCUGGGAAAGAAUUCCCACUUGCUUCUGUACCUUAUCAUUUUUUUUGCCAAAAUCAAACCUAAAAUUUAUAGAUAAUACCUUUUUCUUCAUUAAAAUCAUGAAAUAUGUUAAAAUCCUACCUGCUAAAAAAAAGGUGGGGGAAUUUCAUGUGGCUCAAGACAAAAGACAUUUUUCAUAAAAUUAAUUAAAUUAAAACGUGAAAUCAAAAUAAGAAUGAAGUUGAAUUCCAGCUGCCAGCCAGGGGCCUCCUCUUCCAAUAAGUCACCAGACAGACAAUAAUGUGAACGCUGAUGUCCACUGCAAUCACCAGUGCCAAGUGUGGUAGUAGGUACACAUACCUACCAUAAGAAGAAGGUGAUAUUUAGAACUCUUAAAAUUUUUCUUUCUUUUUUUUUUUUUUUACUUACAGAAUUUUCCUCUCCAGCAAGCUGCCUGCCUUAACGGCUUGCUUGUUGGGGAUAUUUAUGGUACUGGAGUGAGUCUUAUUUAUUUAUUUUUUUCUCUUAAUUUUGCCUCUAAGACCAGAUUCCUAUCUCUUUGAAUCCCAAUAAUGUAAAUUGUGGAUCUGAGUAGAUCUAGAGGAAUGACAGGAAUGAGAAACACUUCUGGGAUAUUCAGAAGUUGAAGCAGAUUUGGUUGAUGGAAUAUUGCCUCCAGUCUUAGCAAGUAUGGAGGCUAAAACCUGGAAAAAUGGCUAAUGAAGGCAAGCUUUGCACCUUGUUUUCAGGAAACGAAAAAGCACCCGCUGUUUAUUUCUGCUUCCCCAAAUGCAGGUGUUUCGAAUCUAAAUACGAGGGGGCUGGCAUUUCUUCCAAACAAGCUGUGCACUGCAGCUCUUAGAGUCCUAAAUCCUCAACACAUUUACAGGUAAGGGUCUAGCCUGGACCACACAUCAAACACAGCCACUGCUGUCUUUGCUCCAGAGCCAUGAGCUUGCGGGAUUGUGGUUUCGCUUCUCAUGAGGCUCUGGCUGACAAAUGGCAACUAUUUAAUGGUGUGUUGAAGAGGUGGAAGCCAAUGGAAGAGGAGGUUAAAAACUAGAACUCAGCCCUCUCCUGGUAACCCAAAGAAUUUCCCCAGUUGCCAUUGAUGCUGGUUUUUCUUGUGUGUGUGUGUUCAUAUGAAUACAUAUACGUCUCGGCAGAUUCCGUAUAUGUUCUUAUGCAUGUUAAUAACAGUGUUUUACUAUAGACGGAGUGAGAGAGGGGGCACCGAAUUUGAAGUGAUGUGCUUAUAAAGGAUGUCUGUGAUUUCCAAUCCAGCGAACCACUGGGGAGUGAAGGAACUAUGUGGAAUUGACAUUUCUCAAAAAUGAAGCCUGAGAAACUACAAAGGCACACAGUUUCAGCUCUCAGAGUUCCCCGUGGGAAAGAAGGUGGUUAAGAAGGUGGCAUCUGGAGUCAGAUGGCUUAGGUUCAAAUCCCAGCUCCAUUGUGUAAGUUCUCUGUGCCUCAGUGUCCCCAUCUGCAAAAUGGGAUUGUUUGGGUAGUCAGUGAGCUAAUACGGGUAGAGUGCUGAGAACACUGCCUGGCCUCAAGCUAGAAAACAAGAUAUGGCAACACUGAAGGACUGGCCAGGCUACACUAGUUUUCCUUCUACAUUGCUGUUCCAAGGAGGCUGUUUCUUCCAUUUUUAUAACAGAACUUUUAGAUUUGUUUUCUGAAAUGCAGCUAAGCUUUGUCCCCUUUAUUCUCUUCUCACGGCCAUUACCCGAGGAGCGAGGGUUUUCCUCAGGCGAAGCUGGUGCAGUAACUUCCCAGGUGGUCUCUGUCUCUGCACACCUGCCGUCCCAGAGCUUCCAGGCUGUCCCAGGUGCUGUUUGCUCAGUGCUGCUUUCACCUCACCACGCUCGGUACCCCUGCCCCGCUGCACGCAGCCUAAGGCCUCUGCCUGGUUUCCACACCUUCCAAUCCAAACUCCUCAUGCCACCCCCAGCCCCAAAGCAUCCCCACGUGCAGGGCAGGCCCAGGAAUACCUCCUCUUUUGCUAUGUCAGUGGCCUCACCGAGGAUGGGGUCCUGUAGGACCUGCAUUUUCUGAAAGGAGAAAGGAAGUGUUUUCCAAACAGAGGGUGGUAGCUGUGAGAAAAGAAAUAAAGGAAACCAUGAAUCAGAUGGACUUUCUGAAGUCAAGAAAUGGCGCCAUUCCAAGACUCAAGGAAGAAUGGAAAGCAGCUCGAUACUAUUAAUUCCCUUUUGUCUUCACAUCAGUGAGCUCUCCUCCCUCACCCAGCACCUGGGACAUAAGAAACCAGUGCACAUCCAUGUAUUGAUGAUGCCACAGGAAGAAUCAAUGUGUUGCAACCCUAUGUUCUUUGAAAAAACUAUAAUGGUUAUGAGAGGAAAUAAUUUUGAGCAUAACUCUUAGUUUACAUGUCUUCUACUCUUUGUUCCCGUCGCGUUUUUGGUUUUUUUUUUAAUCUCUGCAAUGGCUGAGUGUACAUCCUCUGUUCACACCCGCGUCUUCCUCUGGGGGGCUACGUCUCCUGACCCAGUCUGGGGUUUCAAGGAGGAGCUGCUGGUCAUAGAAUCCUGUCGCUCUGACUGUAGCUGAGCCAAUCGGAGUCCUUCCCUGGGGUUUUUCAAAAUCUCCCCCCAAAGCCUAGUCACGUCGCCUCUCACGGGCCACUGUGACACCACUGUGUAGUGUCCAGCUGGUCCCUGCAGCCCUCCGUCUGCUCCUGUCUCCACAAGCUGUUCUGCUCUCAAGAGCCAGACGAAUCUUUCCUCCAAAAGUUUACUCAAAUGUCAAUUGUCUUCUCAGUUCUCUUUUUUUUUUUUUUGCGGUAUGCGGGCCUCUCACUGUUGUGGCCUCUCCCUUUGCGGAGCACAGGCUCCGGACGCGCAGGCUCAGCGGCCAUGGCUCACAGGCCCAGCCGCACCGCGGCAUACGGGAUCCUCCCGGACCGGGGCACGAACCCGCGUCCCCUGCAUUGGCAGGCGGACUCUCAACCACUGCGCCACAAGGGAAGCCCCUCAGUUCUCUUUUGACUUAGCAUCCCAUUCUGAUGAAGUUCAGAAUUUUCACCGCUUCCCACCGGCUCUCCCAUUUCACUUCCAGCCACUCUGAUCCCACCGCCACACCAUUCCUUGUACACACCAGAUGCACUUCCACCCCAGGGCCUUUGCAGGAAUCAUCUGCUCUACCUGGAACACUCUUCCCACCAAGAGUGGCUCACCCUUCCCCUCAUUUAAGUUUCUACCCAAAUGGCACCUUCAUAGAGAGGUAUUCCCCGAAGUUCCUGUACAAAAUAACCCCUGCUGCCCCCCUGUCCACACUCCCUGUUUUCUGACUCUUCCUAGCCCUUAGCACUACCUGAUAUAGGUACUUUUGGGGUUUUGUCUAUCUCCUCCUACUAAAAUUUUUUAAAAAGUAAGUUUAUUUAUGUUUUAUUUAUUUAUUUUUGGCUGUGUUGGGUCUUCGUUGCUGCGUGCGGGCUUUCUCUAGUUGCGGCAAGUGGGGGGCUACUCUCCGUUGCGGUGCGCAGGCUUCUCAUUGCGGUGGCUUCUCUUUGUUGGGGAGCACGGGCUCUAGGCGCGUGGGCUCCAGUAGUUGUGGCUCGUGGGCUCAGUAGUUGUGGUACACAGGAUUAGUUGCUGCGCGGCACAUGGGAUCUUCCCAAAGGAUCGAACUCAUGUCCCCUGCAUUGGCAGGCGGAUUCUUAACCACUGUGCCACCAGCGAAGUCCUUACUCCUACUAAAAUUUAACCUUUACAAGUGAAGGGACUUUGUCUACUUUUGUUCCCUGCUGUCUCCCCAGCAUUGAAAACAGUGUUCCACAUACUAGGUCCUCAAUAAUUAUUAUGCUGAUGAAUGUCUUACUGAACUAUUGUUGAAAACUCCUACCCCAAUGUCUUCAACCAAGUCCUAAGAGCUUUUGAAAGGCCACGUUAAUAAAUGUCUUAUGCAAUGAACGAACAAGAAAAAGAUUCAGAAAUAAUCUUAUCCAACCUCCUCUUUUAAAGAUGAGGACAAGGAACCCAAGAUCGCACACCUGCUCGCUGCACAGUUGCUUUUGGCAGAAAAUAAAAACCCAGGCUGAAGCCGUUUACCAGCCUCACGUAGGAAGGCACCCAUGCCGCGUGUGAGCCCCUCCUGACUUCAGUACAUCUGGGAAGCUUGGGGCAGGAAGCAGGUGCAGCCAGCUGGCUUUGUUUUCUCACAGGCCAAAGCGAUAUAUGGCCUCCCCGGAGCGCGCUUCCAGAGAAGGGACUUGGGAAGCAUAGAAACGAAGGUCUCCCUGCCCCUUCUCCUGUCUCUCAUUACCUUUGGCUGCACAAAAGGAUUGAAUAAGUGCCUGUCACAUAAAAGACUCCCACACCCCCGGAGCCAGAAGUGGGACAGCACAAGGGAACGCGCCCGAGGUGCUUCAGUCCCCACCCCCGGCUCCUCUCUCCCACCAGGAAGUGUCCCUGUUCCCUCCCCACCUCCGCACUGCACAUCCACACUCCCAGAAGAAUGGAGCACCACAGUGAUAAAUGAUUUCCAACUUGUUUGGUAACAGAGCUCACAGAAGGCAGUGCCGUUCUUUUAUAGAAUUCCUUCCAUUUCCAGGUGAGGGAACUGAAGUCUGGGAGGUUUAAUGACAGGCCUCAGGAUCACCCAUCUAGUUACUGCACAGUGCACCCCAGGCCUCGAACUUUUCCUCUAAACUUUCCUAUCAAAUUAUAUCAAUUUUGGUUUCUGGGGAAGAAGCAAAUUCAACUGCAUUGUUCUCAUACAAUACAAUUCUUAAGGUGCUCAUGGUAGAUAAUUAAACACUGCAAAGAGUUUUGAGCUAAUUUACUUAAUGAAAUGCAACAUAUAUAUAAUGCAAUGAAAUGCAACCU
Molecule: long non-coding RNA, 6756 nt
Organism: Orcinus orca (killer whale)
Lineage: Eukaryota; Metazoa; Chordata; Mammalia; Artiodactyla; Delphinidae
Exons: 4
Source: RefSeq, a predicted model, not a curated record